Molecule: unclassified non-coding RNA, 578 nt
Filed under: Hevea brasiliensis (rubber tree)
Lineage: Eukaryota; Viridiplantae; Streptophyta; Magnoliopsida; Malpighiales; Euphorbiaceae
Source: RNAcentral
GCCGUUAUGAGUUGCUGUUGCUGGGUUACAAGUUCUUCUGGCUGUCCUGGAACUUGACUCCUCCGGCCAACAAUCAAAUGCACCAAAUCUUGUAAUUGAUGGAUUUUUUGCUCAAGAAAAGAGAGAUUGUUGAGCAUGGCCCUUGGAUCCCAAUCUGGGAUUUUGUUGGUUUGAAGUAUUUGAAGUGUUUCAUUAAUUUGACUAUUUUCUCGAUCCACUAUUUUGAUAUGAUCAUUGGGAUUGGAAGGAAGCAAAGAUUGGGUUUCGGAUUGUGGAUUGAAUUCUUGGAAAGGGGUAUCUGUCCUAAUGCCAAAGAUAGAGGUAUCUUCCCACUUCUGCUGAUGUUGAUGCGAGUCCAAAUUAUAAUUGGUAAAAGAUGGUUUCUUGGUGGGAAUGUUUUUCGCUAAUUCAUUACCAGAAGAUGAAGAUUUUGCCCACGUUUCUUGACACAGCGUGUCCAUGUGAUCCAUCAUCGAGUCNNNNCAAGACUCGGUGCUAAUCAAACCAGAUUCAAGAUUGCUUGAAGUCAGACGCAGGCUGCUUCAUCUCGAAUUGGGCACAAAGGAACACAAAAAGAC